UACGAAGGGGGCUAGCGUUGCUCGGAAUCACUGGGCGUAAAGCGCACGUAGACGGCUUCUUAAGUCAGGGGUGAAAUCCUGGAGCUCAACUCCAGAACUGCCUUUGAUACUGAGAGCUUGAGUCCGGGAGAGGUGAGUGGAACUGCGAGUGUAGAGGUGAAAUUCGUAGAUAUUCGCAAGAACACCAGUGGCGAAGGCGGCUCACUGGCCCGGUACUGACGCUGAGGUGCGAAAGCGUGGGGAGCAAACAGG
This 252-nucleotide ribosomal RNA is filed under the name uncultured bacterium. Its description in RNAcentral is "partial 16S ribosomal RNA". It matches the Rfam family "Bacterial small subunit ribosomal RNA", at positions 524 to 776 of the family's 1533-position model. The record is from RNAcentral.